This 1168-nucleotide ribosomal RNA is filed under the name bacterium. RNAcentral's name for it is "bacterial SSU rRNA". It matches the Rfam family "Bacterial small subunit ribosomal RNA", at positions 56 to 1233 of the family's 1533-position model. The record is from RNAcentral.
UGCAGUCGAACGGUGAAGGCGGAGCUUGCUCUGCUGGAUCAGUGGCGAACGGGUGAGUAACACGUGAGCAAUCUGCCCCUGACUCUGGGAUAAGCGCUGGAAACGGCGUCUAAUACUGGAUACGAGCUGCGAAGGCAUCUUCAGCAGCUGGAAAGAAUUUCGGUCAGGGAUGAGCUCGCGGCCUAUCAGCUUGUUGGUGAGGUAACGGCUCACCAAGGCGUCGACGGGUAGCCGGCCUGAGAGGGUGACCGGCCACACUGGGACUGAGACACGGCCCAGACUCCUACGGGAGGCAGCAGUGGGGAAUAUUGCACAAUGGGCGAAAGCCUGAUGCAGCAACGCCGCGUGAGGGACGACGGCCUUCGGGUUGUAAACCUCUUUUAGCAGGGAAGAAGCGAAAGUGACGGUACCUGCAGAAAAAGCGCCGGCUAACUACGUGCCAGCAGCCGCGGUAAUACGUAGGGCGCAAGCGUUAUCCGGAAUUAUUGGGCGUAAAGAGCUCGUAGGCGGUUUGUCGCGUCUGCUGUGAAACCCCGAGGCUCAACCUCGGGCCUGCAGUGGGUACGGGCAGACUAGAGUGCGGUAGAGGAGAUUGGAAUUCCUGGUGUAGCGGUGGAAUGCGCAGAUAUCAGGAGGAACACCGAUGGCGAAGGCAGAUCUCUGGGCCGUAACUGACGCUGAGGAGCGAAAGGGUGGGGAGCAAACAGGCUUAGAUACCCUGGUAGUCCACCCCGUAAACGUUGGGAACUAGUUGUGGGGUCCAUUCCACGGAUUCCGUGACGCAGCUAACGCAUUAAGUUCCCCGCCUGGGGAGUACGGCCGCAAGGCUAAAACUCAAAGGAAUUGACGGGGACCCGCACAAGCGGCGGAGCAUGCGGAUUAAUUCGAUGCAACGCGAAGAACCUUACCAAGGCUUGACAUAUACGAGAACGGGCCAGAAAUGGUCAACUCUUUGGACACUCGUAAACAGGUGGUGCAUGGUUGUCGUCAGCUCGUGUCGUGAGAUGUUGGGUUAAGUCCCGCAACGAGCGCAACCCUCGUUCUAUGUUGCCAGCACGUAAUGGUGGGAACUCAUGGAAUACUGCCGGGGUCAACUCGGAAGGAAGGUGAAGGAUGACGUCAAAUCAUCAUGGCCCUUAUGUCUUGGGCUUCACGCAUGCUACAAUGG